UACGUAGGUGGCAAGCGUUGUCCGGAUUUACUGGGUGUAAAGGGCGUGCAGCCGGAGAGGCAAGUCAGAUGUGAAAUCCGCGGGCUCAACCCGCGAACUGCAUUUGAAACUGCUUCCCUUGAGUAUCGGAGAGGUAACCGGAAUUCCUAGUGUAGCGGUGAAAUGCUUAGAUAUUGCGCAGAACUCCGAUUGCGAAGGCAUCUCACGAAUCCGCGAUUGACGCUGAUGCACGAAAGCGUGGGUAGCGAACAGG
Molecule: ribosomal RNA, 253 nt
Filed under: uncultured Oscillospira sp.
Lineage: Bacteria; Bacillati; Bacillota; Clostridia; Eubacteriales; Oscillospiraceae
Description: partial 16S ribosomal RNA
Rfam family: Bacterial small subunit ribosomal RNA
Source: RNAcentral